Molecule: unclassified non-coding RNA, 373 nt
Filed under: uncultured Bacillota bacterium
Lineage: Bacteria; Bacillati; Bacillota
Description: uncultured Firmicutes bacterium contains 16S-23S intergenic spacer region
Source: RNAcentral
UCCGGUUUGUCACCGGCAGUCCGCUUAGAGAGCCCUGUUCCCAGGGCAACUAAGCGUAGGGGUUGCGCUCGUUGCGGGACUUAACCCAACAUCUCACGACACGAGCUGACGACAACCAUGCACCACCUGUCUCCCCUGCCCCGAAGGGAAGGAUCAUCUCUGAUCCGGUCAGGGGGAUGUCAAGCCGUGGUAAGGUUCUUCGCGUUGCAUCGAAUUAAACCACAUGCUCCACCGCUUGUGCGGGCCCCCGUCAAUUCCUUUGAGUUUCAGCCUUGCGGCCGUACUCCCCAGGCGGGGUACUUAUUGUGUGAACUCCGGCACGGAAGGGUUGAACCUCCCACACCUAGUACCCAUCGUUUACGGCUGGGACUAC